GUCGUAACAAGGUUUCCGUAGGUGAACCUGCGGAAGGAUCAUUAAUGAAACAUGAACCUCGUGAAGGGUUGUUGCUGGCCUCUAGAGGUAUGUGCACGCCUGGAUCGUUCAUCCUCCCUUUCUUACACCUGUGCACAAUCUGUAGCUUGGGAUGAUCACGGAGUGUGCUGCUUUUGUAGUCACUUCGAAUGCCCUCUCUAUGAACGCUUUUAUAUACACCUUUAUAAAGUCUUGUAGAAUGUUGAUAAGCGUGUAACAGCGCGAAAAUAAUACAACUUUCAGCAACGGAUCUCUUGGCUCUCGCAUCGAUGAAGAACGCAGCGAAAUGCGAUAAGUAAUGUGAAUUGCAGAAUUCAGUGAAUCAUCGAAUCUUUGAACGCACCUUGCGCUCCUUGGUAUUCCGAGGAGCAUGCCUGUUUGAGUGUCAUGAAGUUCUCAACUGCUUUGACUUUAUUGUUGAAGUGAAGUUGGAUUUGGAGGAUCUUUGCUGGCGCGAGCUUGUGUGCAGAGAUUGUAUGCUUGCUUGCUUGUCGGCUCCUCUUAAAAGUAUGAAACCUUUCCAGUAGAUCUUGNCGAAAAGAGUAUCUUCGACGUGAUAACUAUCUGCGUCGUUGAGAAAGCUUAANAGCAGGGCCCUUCAAAGGCUCCUACAGGGAAAGGNUAAUGCAUAUGUCUCUUCCCAGUGAGACUGCUGCCUUGACCAAUUCGACCUCAAAUCAGGUAGGACUACCGCUGAACUUAAGCAUAUCAAUAAGCGGAGGAAAAGAAACUAACAAGGAUUCCCCUAGUAACUGCGAGUGAAGCGGGAAAAGCUCAAAUUUAAANUCUGGCGUGCCUUUGNCCGUCCGAGUUGUAGUCUNGAGAAGUGUNUUCUGUGCUGGACCGUGUACAAGUCCCUUGGAACAGGGCGUCAUAGAGGGUGAGAANCCCGUCUNUGACACGGACUACCAGUGCUCUGUGAUGCGCUCUCAAAGAGUCGAGUUGUUUGGGAAUGCAGCUCAAAAUGGGUGGUAAAUUCCAUCUAAAGCUAAAUAUAGGCGAGAGACCGAUAGCGAACAAGUACCGUGAGGGAAAGAUGAAAAGCACUUUGGAAAGAGAGUUAAACAGUACGUGAAAUUGCUGAAAGGGAAACGCUUGAAGUCAGUCGCGUCUGCCAGGACUCAGCCUUGCUUUUUUGCUUGGUGCACUUUCUGGUAGAUGGGCCAGCAUCAAUUUUGACCGUCAGAAAAAGUUGGAGGGAAUGUGGCACCUUUCGAGGUGUGUUAUAGCCUUUCAUCACAUAUGACGGUUGGGAUUGAGGACCGCAGCACGCCUUUAUGGCCGGGGCUUUGCUCACGUAACGUGCUUAGGAUGCUGGCUUAAUGGCUUUAAGCGACC
Molecule: ribosomal RNA, 1377 nt
Filed under: uncultured fungus
Lineage: Eukaryota; Fungi
Description: eukaryotic LSU rRNA
Rfam family: Eukaryotic large subunit ribosomal RNA (bases 707-1377)
Source: RNAcentral